This 5555-nucleotide long non-coding RNA is filed under the name Pomacea canaliculata. RNAcentral describes it as "uncharacterized LOC112564125". The record is from RNAcentral. Lineage: Eukaryota; Metazoa; Mollusca; Gastropoda; Architaenioglossa; Ampullariidae.
AACCCACAAAAGCAGACGAUCGACGCAGAAAAGACGCAAAGAAGCGCGGUUGCCACGCGUUGCAGUCUUUCCUGCGCUAUUACACGGUUCUACACCCGGAAAUGGUCAAAGAAAAGAUGCUUGCAAAAGUACCAGAAAUGUCCUCAUCAGCAGACGUGGCUGAAGACAACCCUGCACUUUUUAAAAGAAACAGAGAGCAAAAAAGAUUAACCUAAUCAAGAUAUGUGACAAGGACACGUCACUGCGUCGGCUACAGCACGUCCCUCACAGCCAGUAUUCCUGUCGCCAUCAGCCGCAGCUCAGUGGCUUUUCUCACCUGUAGGUAUACGUGGUAACUGUCGUCUGCAACAGGAUACGGCUGCUCUUGGGUCAGCUUAGCACCGUUAUCCGCUACAAAGCUUGCCGCCAACCCAGAAGGUGCACCUGACAAUUGCUUAUACUGAGACAUAUUUGAUGCUGGAAUUAAACGAGAGACUGUUUACUCAAAGGAGCUCUGACGUCAUUAUCCCCAGCAUCGUCAGUGUUGCACACGUCAGCCCCGGAGAAAUGACGUCACAUGUCGUGUCAGAGUUUGUGAGGACCCGACAGCCUUGACACUCCGCCAUUUCACAGCACCAGCCAGAUCAUGAAACCUGGUCAGUCUGUCCUGUCUAGCAGCGAGCCCUUCACCUGAACACCUGAGUGACGUGUAAGUAUUUGGGGAGGAAGGUGUUAUAGGCCGCUCUUUGAGAUCAGCAGAGUCCCUCGCUGCCUUACAUUCGCCAGGCCUCUAGCUCUAGGGAGUACAACACCCGUUUAAAAGCAGGGUCAAAGGUUGUCAAAACAGCCAGUGUCAACCGCAUCCAAAUUCUGGUGUUUUGACUACUAAGCUACCCGGUUACACCCUGGUGUCCUUUAACAAUUAGCUGAAUUCUGUAUACUCUCGUGUUGUAUGUACCACUCCAUGGCCCAUCAGUGUGAUUGACGUUUCAACCUGACGACUUCCAGCUUUCUUAUCAUGGCCACCAAGUGGGUUUAUCGUGUGUCGUCAGAGCAUUUCUCGCUUUUGGUGACUUGUUCUCUCGAAUUCCGCCACCUCAUAGCUUUGAGUCUGCAGCUUUAAUCGCUUUGACAUUUUGACUAAACUAACUCGUCGCGCUUUUGGCGCCGUCUGGGCACAAACACCGCCGAGCACAUGGAAUGCAAAUGGUUGAUCGAAAUGGAUGAAUGUCACGACACCAAAGUCAGAUAAACCACUGCCUACAUGCUCUUGUUUACUUUUGCAGUCUCGGUGGGGGGAUGUUGGGAUGGGGGUUGGAUUGGAGAAAGAUAGUUUCGUAACUCUGUGUGUGUGUGAUUCCUCUGUUGCGUGCACCUGUUCACGAGCGUUCUACAUUCUAAACAUUACCUUGCGCACGCGGGAAUGAACCGCUUUUGUCAAAAUAAAAUGUGGUUCUCAAUGCUUGGCUCCCGAUAAUGUGACGCAAAACUCCACAAAACCGUACACCUAUGUCAUCGGCAAGACCAGACGUGACUAUAUGUAAGUCUGUAUGUCUGUCUGUCAAAAUAGGAUAUCUCCCUCCCUUUCCCUCUUGUUGCUUUUUCUUCGCCAAGAAGCCUGCACUGGGACUUUUCCCACCAAACUGUAGACAUUACCAUCAUUUCUAGAAUGUUUCAUUGAAACUACACCAGCCUCCAACAUUCUUUCUCCAUAUCCUUGCCUGACCUCUCCCAAUCCAAGAAAAUUCUCCUCCAGCUUGAGUUAAUACGGUCCACCUUCUCUCCCUCCAUCAGCCGUUUUCCGGUCUCGUAACGACCCCAUGCCUAUCCAAGAUUGUAUAGGUCUUUCAAGCCAGAAUAAAUAUAGGGCUAUGACAGAUUUGCUUAACGCUCUUCAUCCAGUUUUGACGUGUACAGCGCAAACACGUACAGCAAUUGUAGCCCUAUGCUUCACGUCGUGCAGAGUGUUGUCGGCUGUGGAGAAAAGCAAGUGUGGCAUGUUUUCCUGAAGAGUGCCACUAGUUGGUGACGUGUGUGCCCUCCUCGUGACGUACAGGUCAUUCAUCGUGGUGUUGACUCCAGUCGUUGACUAGCUGCCGAGGACGCACUGUGGACAGUCUCCCUCCUUCUCCCAAGACUUCGAUUCCCAUCUUCGAAGGACUGUGUAGCAAAAGCUGUCUCCCAAACAAGUCAUUGGCCAGUUUGGAAGCGCCCUUGUCUUUCGCUGAACUGGUUUUUGGUUUGCAUUCUGCAAGAAAGUAUUGCAAAUAGCAACAGGAAGUUUACGUAGAGCUUAUUAUUUAUUUAUCUUCAAUCAGUGUUCUUGCCAUAGUGAUAAACAAAACUGUAGUGGCAUACUAAUUGAAUGGUUUUGAUAUAUCUUCUGGGGUGACUUUUUUUAAAACAAAUUAAAGCGGUGCGUAGAGUUUACCCACGUCGGUCAUUUUCAACAAAUUCAAAAGCAGCAAAACUGAGAAACGGGUAAUUAAGAACACUAGGCGUUUGGCCAGCACCUGUUGUGACAUCGUCUGCAACACGAAUUCUUUCCAGUGAAGAUCUCUCUGGAGACGAGUUCUCUAAUUCGUCAGCGACAUCUUUGCCUUUCUUGUUUGUCGUCACAAUUUGUAUGUUGUCCGACUCACUUGCCCUGUCUUGCAGCUUUAAUUAGUACAGCUUUACAAAUGUUAAGGGUCUAAUUUUGGGAGGUUUUUGUAACAGCCCAGAUCUCGCCAGUUAACUGGCAGCUGGAAACAUCGUGAAAUGAGGUAACCAAAAAAAAAAAAAAAAACCGCGUGUGAAAUGCGAGUGUCUCUUUGCGAGAACCUUUAAUUUCCACCCCAAGUCUUGACGGCGCCUGCAGGUCGCUGAGGGUGGUCGUGUACGGGUACAGUUGGCAGUUUGCUGACCGAAGAAAUAUAUGACACUUUCUCUUCAAACUCGCCCUCCUCGUAAUGUAUAAGAAGGCAAUCGCACGGAGGGUAAUGUAAAGCAAUCGCACUGUGUGUAAAGCAAUCGCGAGACCCAUAAGGGUCUGGGGUGGGCGAGAGGGGUACGGUGGUUGUCAAACACGAGUCUAUGAGAUUUUAACGUAAGGAACCUUUCUCUCACAUCGAUGGUGAAAACAUGGGACAACUGCCAGAAACAUCAGAGUUUACGAAAAAUAUAACACUAAUGCCAUUGUGUGUGUGUGCCUGUGUUUGGAUAUUGUUUUGUAAGCAUUUGUCCGCAUGUGAAUUUAUUUUUUCGUUCCCCGCCCCCCUUCUUUCCUUUGUUUGGUUUUUUUUUCUCUUUAUUUAUAUGUAUAUUUUUUUUCUUUAUCUUUUUUCUUUCUCGGUUUUAUUCUCCUAGUGUUGAUUCAUCGAUUAUUGUCCUGUUUCAUCAGUCGUUUGUGUGUUAUAAACAUGGUUAUUCAUUGUCUCUUUCUCUGAAAUCUUUUAUCUGUACGUGAGCGCAACGCCGAGAUGACUAAGCUCAGACAGCAGCCACACGGAUUGCUGUAAAUCAAAACAAAUAUAAUACAAUCAUUACAGACUGACCAGUCUGUAAAUCCGAGACUUACUCGAUAGAGAUACCGUUUGAAUGCUGAUAGAGUGGAAGGAUGGAUGGGUGGAUAAACACAAAGACAGAAUGCCCUAGAUUGAUAAUGAUCUGAGGUGGGAGGAGUGGAUCUAAGGAGGCCAAGCCACAGGAGGAAAAACUUGAUGCGAUAAGACAAACUUCUCUGUGCGAUUAACUGCCUCCUUUGCACACACUAAAUUUUCCCUCGAGGAUUAGAGGUAUGUGCAGCUUUCUUCUGCCGUGUGAAAUAUUUCUGUUUUAGCGUCCCUCAACUGCUAAAUAAUGAUGUAGUGCAGACUAUCUUAUCUCUUCAUCUAUCACCUUUAUUGCGCCCCUUGAUAUAUUACUCCACAAUUUCCAUUACCUGUUAGGCAAUGGCAGCACUAGAAAAAUAAGGAUAAAUUAAGGUUUAACAAAAAGAGCUUUCGAGUCUCCCAAGUGUUGUAAGUGGCCACUGAAAGCGACACUAAACAUGACCCAUAGUCAGGCCCUUAGCAACGUUAAGCCGCGAAGUCUAUCAAUAUAAACGGUGAUUCAUGCCCCAAAUCUUCUGAUAGGCACAAAUCGAAGUCGUCUGCUAGGAUCGAUCACUCUGCUUAAUCCUGCCCCCUCCCCCAUACUUUAACUGUUAGCCCAUGCAGAGUUACUGCGCCCACUUGGACUUUAACCCUGCAACGCCGCGGCCUUCAGGAAAGACAUUAAUUUCCCUUGUCACCAGCUCCGGGGAGCCCCGGGGAGCUACUCUUGCAUCCCUGCAAAGGACAGCAGCAUCGUGGGCAAUGUUUCAACUACCAUGUUUUGUCAUCAUUGUCACCUGUCUCAUCGCCGUUGCAGACGACACACGUUCCGCGUUGACCCUGUGCGGGUUCUCGCGAGAGGUCGAGGAAAAGGAGCCAUUCCGGCUCCCAACCUGCGUCUUGGAGAAGUGUCACGUGGUUUGUUUUUGUUAAUUGAAGGGGCAUUGUGUCACGAACGGGCAGGGGGACUAGUCGCAUGGAAUGAAGAUGGCGUCCCCGCGAGAUAUCGCGCUGUUUAACACGUCGGCAGCCACCAUCGACAGUUGCUAGUGCGCGCGCUGGCAGCCUAAUCCCUGCAGAGAAAGUUGCAGACAGGCGGCGAGCAAAUUGUUGCGAUAUUACUGUCAAAUUUAUCGCCUGCCAGGCCGGGACCGGACAGCCCAUACCUACAGACGCUGUUGAUCCCUCCACUGAAGGGGCGCUAUGGAGAUGGGCUUCCUGCGACCUACAAGCCGCCAUCUUCGCUCUUACAAGUCGAUUUGGAAAGCGCAUGUUGCUUGCCGAUAGUGGCGCCACUGGUCCAGACAAUGAGUGCUUUUGAUAACGGUAUUUUACACGGAUUAUGCCCUUUGGAUGCCCAUUGGCAGAUCCGGACGCAUAAAUCGCGUUAGCGGGGAAGGGAUGGGGAUGGGAGGUGGGGUGGGAAGGGGAGGGUCAACGCAAAGGGUGAUACUGUUAACGGCGAGGGGUCGGGUGCUGGUCGCACGCUCUCACUCGUCUCGUGCACUUGAUACCCGGAUACGUCACAGUCUGACCAAAGUCGUCAGCCCACCGCCACAGCCUCCACCUCGGACGUGGACCAUUCUGGAAGCUCUGUAUCGACGUCUAGCGAGAUGUUGGGUUUAUCUCCGCCUACCGUCAACCAUCCUGCUACGCAGAAGCCCACGUGGCCAGAUGAGAUGAAUGCUGGGCAGGGAGGGACGCUGCGCAUCAUCUGCCUCGAUUUUACCGUUACAAGUAGUUAAGGUGAUUUCCUCACCCGCAAGUGUCUUUUGAUCAGCUGUGAGCACCGGUCAUAAUUUCUGUUGUUUGAGAGAGUUUUCUUGUGGUUUGUCCGCGAAUCUCAAUUGGUGAUUGUUCAUUUCGUGUUUUAUGUAAGGAAGGCUGCUUCUUUAUUCUCGUUUUCUCAUAUAAUUUUAAAACUCGCACAAAAUACUUAGAAAUUUCGGCAACAUCAAUAAUAUUCUAUCCACAAUACAUCAUGCUCACCGGUAAAGCAGA